GAUGCCCCUGAAGUUGUUGCAGCCCAACUGUCGUGUUGCGUUGCGUCACAAGGCGGCAGAGAGCGAGCGGUGGUCGUCUGCACUGAGACUCACAAACCCAUUGAGGACUCGGAGUGAUAAUCGGCACCGACAAU
Small nucleolar RNA from Cottoperca gobio, 134 nucleotides. The record is from Ensembl. NCBI's taxonomy places the organism in Eukaryota, Metazoa, Chordata, Actinopteri, Perciformes, Bovichtidae.